RNAcentral lists this ribosomal RNA (441 nucleotides) under uncultured bacterium. RNAcentral's name for it is "partial 16S ribosomal RNA". It matches the Rfam family "Bacterial small subunit ribosomal RNA", at positions 338 to 795 of the family's 1533-position model. The record is from RNAcentral.
CCUACGGGAGGCAGCAGUGGGGGAUAUUGCACAAUGGGGGAAACCCUGACGCAGCGACGCCGCGUGGGUGAAGAAGUAUUUCGGUAUGUAAAGCCCUAUCAGCAGGGAAGAAAGAAGACGGUACCUGACUAAGAAGCCCCGGCUAACUACGUGCCAGCAGCCGCGGUAAUACGUAGGGGGCGAGCGUUAUCCGGAUUCACUGGGUGUAAAGGGAGCGUAGACGGCCGUGCAAGCCAGGAGUGAAAGCCCGGGGCCCAACCCCGGGACUGCUCUUGGAACUGUGCGGCUGGAGUGCGGGAGGGGCAGGCGGAAUUCCUGGUGUAGCGGUGAAAUGCGUAGAUAUCAGGAGGAACACCGGCGGCGAAGGCGGCCUGCUGGACCGCGACUGACGUUGAGGCUCGAAAGCGUGGGGAGCGAACAGGAUUAGAUACCCUUGUAGUC